Molecule: small nucleolar RNA, 70 nt
Organism: Paramormyrops kingsleyae
Lineage: Eukaryota; Metazoa; Chordata; Actinopteri; Osteoglossiformes; Mormyridae
Product: small nucleolar RNA SNORD19
Source: RefSeq, a predicted model, not a curated record
GAGAAAUGAGGAAAUGACAAGUCUUGAAUUCCAGUGAAGACUCUAAUCCAACUCUGAUCUCAAUGAAGUG